UGGAUCCAGACUUUGAUUCUGGCUCAGGACGAACGCUGGCGGCGUGCCUAAUGCAUGCAAGUCGAGCGAGCUUGCCUAGAUGAUUUUAGUGCUUGCACUAAAUGAAACUAGAUACAAGCGAGCGGCGGACGGGUGAGUAACACGUGGGUAACCUGCCCAAGAGACUGGGAUAACACCUGGAAACAGAUGCUAAUACCGGAUAACAACACUAGACGCAUGUCUAGAGUUUGAAAGAUGGUUCUGCUAUCACUCUUGGAUGGACCUGCGGUGCAUUAGCUAGUUGGUAAGGUAACGGCUUACCAAGGCAAUGAUGCAUAGCCGAGUUGAGAGACUGAUCGGCCACAUUGGGACUGAGACACGGCCCAAACUCCUACGGGAGGCAGCAGUAGGGAAUCUUCCACAAUGGACGAAAGUCUGAUGGAGCAACGCCGCGUGAGUGAAGAAGGGUUUCGGCUCGUAAAGCUCUGUUGGUAGUGAAGAAAGAUAGAGGUAGUAACUGGCCUUUAUUUGACGGUAAUUACUUAGAAAGUCACGGCUAACUACGUGCCAGCAGCCGCGGUAAUACGUAGGUGGCAAGCGUCGUCCGGAUUUAUUGGGCGUAAAGCGAGUGCAGGCGGUUCAAUAAGUCUGAUGUGAAAGCCUUCGGCUCAACCGGAGAAUUGCAUCAGAAACUGUUGAACUUGAGUGCAGAAGAGGAGAGUGGAACUCCAUGUGUAGCGGUGGAAUGCGUAGAUAUAUGGAAGAACACCAGUGGCGAAGGCGGCUCUCUGGUCUGCAACUGACGCUGAGGCUCGAAAGCAUGGGUAGCGAACAGGAUUAGAUACCCUGGUAGUCCAUGCCGUAAACGAUGAGUGCUAAGUGUUGGGAGGUUUCCGCCUCUCAGUGCUGCAGCUAACGCAUUAAGCACUCCGCCUGGGGAGUACGACCGCAAGGUUGCAACUCAAAUGAAUUGACGGA
Molecule: ribosomal RNA, 957 nt
Filed under: uncultured Bacillota bacterium
Lineage: Bacteria; Bacillati; Bacillota
Description: bacterial SSU rRNA
Rfam family: Bacterial small subunit ribosomal RNA
Source: RNAcentral